UACGAGGGGGGCGAGCGUUGUUCGGAAUUAUUGGGCGUAAAGGGUGCGUAGGCGGUUUGGUAAGUCUGAUGUGAAAUCUAUGGGCUCAACUCAUAGUCUGCAUCGGAAACUGCCGGGCUUGAGUGUGGGAGAGGUGAGUGGAAUUCCUGGUGUAGCGGUGAAAUGCGUUGAGAUCGGAAGGAACGCCCGUGGCGAAAGCGAGGUCCUGGACGUCUACUGACGCUGAGACGCGAAAGCUAGGGUAGCGAACGGG
Molecule: ribosomal RNA, 253 nt
Filed under: uncultured bacterium
Lineage: Bacteria
Description: partial 16S ribosomal RNA
Rfam family: Bacterial small subunit ribosomal RNA
Source: RNAcentral